GAACUGGUAGUGCAAUGGUCUAGAAUACUUAAACACUCUCCUCUCAAGCUACAAUUUACGUGUAUGAACAACGAGUGAGGGACAGAGGUUCGAAUCCUCUCCAGCUAG
This is a non-coding RNA of Coprinopsis sp. MPI-PUGE-AT-0042, 108 nucleotides long. NCBI's taxonomy places the organism in Eukaryota, Fungi, Basidiomycota, Agaricomycetes, Agaricales, Psathyrellaceae. The record is from the annotation of a GenBank genome assembly.